Molecule: long non-coding RNA, 1342 nt
Organism: Schistocerca gregaria
Lineage: Eukaryota; Metazoa; Arthropoda; Insecta; Orthoptera; Acrididae
Exons: 3
Source: RefSeq, a predicted model, not a curated record
GAAAAAGCGUACAGUUACGCAUUGCCCACACGACCAUUUGAAAAACAUUCAGACAUGGGCGAUAAAGUAACAGCUAAAAAGCACAGGCCUUCUGUUUCCCUAUACCCUGGACCAGGGAAAAAACUGCUCAAACUUCCAUACCCUUUCGAUAAAGAAAACCAAGAGAAUUGUAACGCGUUCGAGGAGGCAUACUUCCGUAAAAAAAGACUCGAUCGAGCCCUCUUAGAGUUUGAUGCUGCAGUUGAAUUCAGGUGUCAACAGAUCAGGCACUAUGGAGAUUUGAUGAAGCUCACCAUUGAGCAGUCUAUAAAUUUGUGGAAACUGCAAUUUCCACCGUUUAUUCUCAAAAUGCCCCUUUCAGAAUUCGUGGAGAAAUACGGCGGUAGUGUGGCUACGGCAGUCGAUGCUUACACCAAGACUAAAAUUAAGGCGUUCAUUUCCUCCUCCAUCAAGGGUCAUGACCUCGCAGGUUCCUAGCCCAUUUUUCCCUAUCACAACCCGCUAUUGAUCCUCCACCUUACUGGGCAUUUCUCAAGACUACGUUACACUCUUCUACACGAAAUCUCUAGAAACCGAUAGGAUGGUUGAAAUAAUUGGAGGCAUCCUAGGUAAGUAAUCCGUAUCAUCUAUACAUGCACGUAAUUUUAGCCUUCCUACGACUAGUGAAAGGAGCUGAUGCAUACUUGAUGCGCGUGUGAGCUCCAUAGCCCGUAACCGAUUGAAUGUUUGGUCUUCUAGCCGUUGUAAAAUUUCCCUCAAAUUGGCAGUUUCUGCUGAUAAAAAAAUUCCGGUUUCAAGGAGUCAUGGCACUUUCGGCAUGAUUGUGUCGGCGAGGGGCUGUUCAUCAAAAGAGCCGUUAUACUCUUUCUUCCGGGGCAAAGUGUUCCUCAUAAAGAGGCCCAAAAGAAAAGUUUUUCAAGUGUAUAGCUUAUAUGUAGACACAUUGCAAGGUGUUGAACUUCCUCUUUGCUGCGGAAAACUGCAACAAGUGUCCAAAAGAGAAUUUUUCGGUUUUUUUGGCGUGGUUGAACCAUCGAAUGCCUUGAGUGUUUGGUAUUCAGCGUGAGAUUAUGUUUUUAUGUUUAGUCUCAUGUAUGUCAAUGUGAUUUGUCUUCUCUCGUCCGAGCGCACCUGAGACGAGAGAAGACCCCUCUUGGACGGAGCACUGCAUACGAAAUCGGUACCGUAGGCUGUAAGCGAUAGCACUUGUACUUGAGCAUGUUUACCUUUUAGACAAUUGCGACGACAUGUUUUAUGAAAGAAUGCCAAGGGUACAGGUUGUCUCAAGUCAGUCCAUAUCGAUUCACUGCGGUAGCAGGGUUUUGGAUAUUUUGGUGAUGUG